Molecule: non-coding RNA, 494 nt
Organism: Macaca mulatta (Rhesus monkey)
Lineage: Eukaryota; Metazoa; Chordata; Mammalia; Primates; Cercopithecidae
Source: RefSeq, a predicted model, not a curated record
CUCCUGACCUCGUGAUCCACCCGUCUCGGCCUCCCAAAGUGCUGGGAUUACAGGCUUGAACCACCGCUCCCGGCCUCAGUUUCUGGAUUUUUAAGUGGAGGAAACCAGUAGUAUCUUCCUCCAUACAUGAACAGAACCCAAAAUAAGAUAUUGGAUGUGAAAGCAUUUUACAACAGUAAUAUAUAUUAUAUAUUAAUAAUGUAUAUAACAUAAUAAUACGAGAAGUAUGUGUGUGUUUAUCUCUUACUGUUUUCAUUUAGUAUUGACUUGGCCCAUUGGAACAGGGCUCGGGAGCCUUCAGGGCUGAAGCAGAGGGGCAAAGGCGGCAAGACCGUUCCAAGAGUGUGAACAAGAUUCUGCAGUCAGCGGCUCACAUCUGCUCGCUGCUUCUGUUCGUUGCCUUGUUCUUUCUGUCCCCUUGGUUUGCUUCCCUCGUCAGCACCUUUGAAAUAAACCAGGAUUCCAUUUUGGAAUUUCGGCGUGUAUUACAGGAA